UACGGGGGGGCAAGCGUUGUUCGGAAUUACUGGGCGUAAAGCGUGCGCAGGCGGCUCCUUAAGUCAGAUGUGAAAUCCCCGGGCUUAACCUGGGAACUGCGUUUGAAACUGAGGAGCUCGAGUGUGGAAGAGGGGGGUGGAAUUCCAGGUGUAGCAGUGAAAUGCGUAGAGAUCUGGAGGAACACCGAUGGCGAAGGCAGCCCCCUGGGCUAACACUGACGCUCAUGCACGAAAGCGUGGGGAGCAAACAGG
RNAcentral lists this ribosomal RNA (252 nucleotides) under uncultured bacterium. Its description in RNAcentral is "partial 16S ribosomal RNA". It matches the Rfam family "Bacterial small subunit ribosomal RNA", at positions 524 to 776 of the family's 1533-position model. The record is from RNAcentral.